RNAcentral lists this long non-coding RNA (1332 nucleotides) under Homo sapiens (human). Its description in RNAcentral is "HSALNT0336864". Lineage: Eukaryota; Metazoa; Chordata; Mammalia; Primates; Hominidae. The record is from RNAcentral.
GUUGUCAUGGCUCUUUAGUAACCUACUCUGAAUUUGUCUGAUGGUUUCCUCAUGAUCAGAUUCUUCGGAGAAGAACUCUACAAAGGAAAGACUGCAUUGUAGUUCUUUGGACAAUUCCUGGAGAAAUCAUGAGAUAUGACUCUCUCACUUGUAGAAUCACAGCAAAGGCUCCGUCCUACUGAACAUUGAUGGAACAAAGGCAAACAAAACCAAAACAAAACAGCCAAACUGAUGCUGGGAAAGAGAUGGAUGUGUCACCAUUGCUGAGGAUAAAUACCGUGGAAGCUGCACCUGGCCAAGAGGAAGGAGACACAGCAGCAGCGGCAGCAACAGCUCCUGGAAGAUUUCACGGCAGAUAUUUUGAUGGUCAAAGAACUCACUACCCUGAUUGGUGCACACAAAAGAAUGGGGUCUGUUUGCAUGCAAAAUGCAAAUUCUGGAAUCAGUGAAAGCAAGCACUUCUCUGCAAAGUUUUGAGGAGGAUGGCAUAUUACAUUUAGACAUUAUGUCUUCUUGUGUUCCUCUUGGCUGUGACAAUUUCUCCGAUUUUCCUUAUUUUUGAAGGCUUUGGCAGUUUUGAAGAGUAUUAGUCAGAACAUCAAGUAUUCAUACUGUCAACAUGACCUGUUACUAUUAAUAACCAUGAUCUUCUGUUAACCUUGAUCAUCUGGCCAACGUAAUGUUUUCCAGAUUUCUCCAUUGGAAAGUUACUCUUUUUCCCACUUUGCCUGUAAUACCCUUUGGAAGGAAGUCACUAUGCAAAACCCACACUUAAGAGUUAAACCUGUGUAAUUGUUAAGUCGCGGUGACAACAAGGACUGCAUCCGUCUCGUGUGUCAUUUGUAUCCCUCGUGCACAACGUUGCCUCAAACAAACUAAGCAUUCCAUAAAUACUGGUUAAAUGGAGAAGUGGAUCGAUUAUUUCAUGCACAAACCAAAAAUGGAGAAAAUCACUAACACGAUCUCUGGAGGGUUUGGUGCAAGUUUAGCUAGUGACAGGACCAGAGCCAGGACCCAUGUGACUCCUCCUCGGGUGCUCUUUCCACUGACUUUCUUGGGCUAUUUGCUUUAUUAAUGCCUUUCUUCCAAUCAUCACUUAAACAAAGACAAGUGAAAAGAAGUCUGACUUUAGCUGACAAUGGCAGAAAUCAUCACUCUGCUGAAUAACUAACAUAAACAUCAACUUCCUACAUUAGCACUUCAGGACAUCAGCUCAAAUAGCUCCAUCCCUUCUUUCCCUGCUAUUGUGUCCCUUAUUAGAAUAAUAAACUGAAGCUCAUAUCUCCUCUCUGAUUAUGUUGUAAACUUUAUUAGCAUUUCUGGCCUUUAAUG